RNAcentral lists this ribosomal RNA (291 nucleotides) under Bacillus sp. CSC5. Its description in RNAcentral is "partial 16S ribosomal RNA". It matches the Rfam family "Bacterial small subunit ribosomal RNA", at positions 50 to 330 of the family's 1533-position model. The record is from RNAcentral. Lineage: Bacteria; Bacillati; Bacillota; Bacilli; Caryophanales; Bacillaceae.
CUAUACAUGCAAGUCGAGCGAAUCGAUGGGAGCUUGCUCCCUGAGAUUAGCGGCGGACGGGUGAGUAACACGUGGGCAACCUGCCUAUAAGACUGGGAUAACUUCGGGAAACCGGAGCUAAUACCGGAUACGUUCUUUUCUCGCAUGAGAGAAGAUGGAAAGACGGUUUACGCUGUCACUUAUAGAUGGGCCCGCGGCGCAUUAGCUAGUUGGUGAGGUAAUGGCUCACCAAGGCGACGAUGCGUAGCCGACCUGAGAGGGUGAUCGGCCACACUGGGACUGAGACACGGG